GAAAAAAGCGAGACAUGUAAUUAGACAGUGGAUUAAUUGAUCGUUUUUCAUUCUAUAUAUUUUCUAAUAUAUAGCUAUUAUCGUUUGCAUUUUAAGGUACCUUUUCUUUAAGGAAAAAUCUUAAAGAUUUUAGAAAAAAUCUAAUAUCUUGUUUUAUUCCAGUUUAUUACGAAACAGACUGAAUGUAUAAGAUUUAAUGAGAUUUAUUCCUUGACAUCUUGCUGUGACAAACGAUGGUAUACGAAAAGUUGCAUGAAUUUCAACAGCUUUUGAUUCGAUUGAUUAUAUUGCGCUACGGUAGUCAAUCGAUCGACAGCAGGAUAUUUCACAUAUGGAUACGAUGUGUCGGCAUUUAGCGUUGCUCUGUCAGUCAGGCCGUUUAAGCUUAUUUCGCGAGUACAAAAUACGCGUGUGGGGGACAUUCGCUACCGAAAUAAAUUCUUCCCACGCGCGAAUCGCAAUGCUAAAAGAGAUCCGGCGAUCCACUUCUAAAGUUAUCCCCUGGCUCUUGGGCACGUGUCGCGCGCCACGAACUUUUAGCUCAUCGUCUUUCCUCUUCACGUCGUAGAAAUUGAUGAAAUACGAUUGGAUGUAAGGAGGAAUAUCUUCGAUGGAGAAGAAUCAGUUUCGAGGAAGGGUCCCGCGAGGAACGCGACAGUUGGAAAGCGGCCAACGAACGCAGAGGAUGCAACACUCCUGGGUCGAUAUCCUAACGGGGCGGCGACAAGGGAUGCCGGUUAAAGGGAUGAGGGGGCAACUCCCUCUUCUGGGGCGUGUUGUACCCCUCUCGAACACAAGCCUCGCACAAGGUCAAACGGAAGAUGAUUCAUCCCUAGCUGACCGAAGGAUUUGAUUUAAUGCCUCGAAGAAAUGAAUCUACAUCGUGUCAGCUGCACUUUCUGCAUUUCAGAUAAAAAUACAUAGGAAAAUGUUUAGGUCUGCGAGAGAAAAAAAAAAGAGUAUUUAACUAUAAAAAUUAAGAAAACUAAUAUGAAUCGAUUCGAUAACAUUUUUUAAGCAUUAAAAUUUUUUUUUCGCCAAUAAGGUUUUAACGUCGCGCGUCAUUUCAAGGAACGAUGCGAUAAAUACUACACUUUCCGCGAAAGACCAUCAUAAAGGCGAGAGAAGAUAAUUAACCCGGCUGCCGGACGUAAAAGACGUCAGUGAACUUCGAGAGUUGCUAGCCCGCAAGAAAAUAACCGACCUCCUUACAGGCUCAUUGAAUUUUUCCCUCUCUCUUUCUUCGCUCUACGAACAGACCGUUCUCUGCACUAUAUGCAUCGCUCUCUUCUUUCUAGUUCACUGUCAUCUUCGAGGCGCGGCCAGGAACGAGGGGACACUAAAGGGGAGUUAGCAGAUUGGAAAAAGGGGAUAGUUUUGAAAAGAGAGCCGGUUCUUCUCUUCAUUUCCGAGGAUACGCGCGAAAUGCAAAAAAUUAUUAUCAUCAAAAGAAUAUGUUUGCCAUAAGAUUUCGUUCGCAUAUUCGAGAAAUGGAUCCUUACUUGGCAUUACCACGUUAUGCGACGUGUCAUAGCGUCAUCGCUCUGCGAACGCAUAAAUUCUUACGUAGGAGGAUCGUGUUGGCAAAAGGAUGCAUAUUUGCCAGAGGGUUAAGGUCGUGCUUAAUCGCACGGAUGGGGGAUCGCAUGAACGUGACGGUGAUCCGAUAGCGCGCGCGUCUCUCCAGUAUGCGAGUCAUAGUUUUAUAUUUAUAUACUGCAAGCCCGCAAGUGGUUUUGAUAAAGGAACGUGAGCAUCGCCGUAUUUAUGCGAUAUUAAAAUUUUUUGCAAUACACAUAAAGUAGAUGCUCCAUUAUCAUCGGUCGCCUCGUUAUUUUGCCAUUUCGCGUUGAUUCUUUCUCUCGUUACAUCAGUCACGGUUAGUGGAUCUGAUUUUACAGAAAAACAUAGCGAAAGAAUAGCUCAGUCAAUGUGUCAUGGAUGCUUUAGUAGUAUAAUAACAAAUAAGUAUUUUCAUUAUCACACACAAAUACAUUGGGAAGAUAAUUUUCAACGUGAACUUUGUUGUAUAAAUAAUAUUAUUUAAUAUAAAAAAAUAUAAUUUUUCUUAAGUAUUAUAACAUUGUUAAUCUUUUAUCACUGAUGGAAUUCUUAUCGAAUUAUUUUCUUUGUGUUGUAUAGUAGUAGAUUCUAAUAUACUAGUUUCUAUCAUAGUAUUACAAAUUAGUUUAUAAAAUCAAAAUUAGAAUCGCCUCAGAAAUAGACUUAUGCUCCUGCGAUAUCUUUUAUAGAUCGCGAUGUGAUUCGAAGGUGGAUUAUAGUAAUAUAAAACGAUCAAAUGGUAUACGAUAAUGGGACAAUAGAAACUGAUAUCUGCAAGAAUAUUUCUCUCUCUCUCUCUCUCUCUCUCUCUCUUUCUCCUUCAUACACCUGUAUGUACAUUCAUAUCAGAUGCAGCAAAUAUAACGUGAUGCAACCGAGAACAGAUUUAAUCUCUUGCUGUUAAUGGAAAUUGAUAUUAUCUCGUCAUCGUAAAUUUUUGUAAUAAAUUUUGAGAAAAAUAGUGCGUUGAGUACUUGAGAGGAUAGAAAGAAAUGGAUCCGAAUAAAAAUAGUCAGCAACGACACGCGAUUUAAAGCGCUGACCGAAAUAAAUGCGUACGCAACGCUUCCUCUUUUACGCAAACGAACGAAAAUGACAGAUCCCGAUAGCGAUUCCACGAUCUUGAAACGAUGCUUUGCAACUUCUUGCCAAUUUUAUUAUCUAAAAUUUGGAGAGCACACAACUAAAAUUUUUUUAUUCCAAAUAGACGCAUAUAUAAAACAAAUUUAGAUAAAAAUUUGUCCUAGAGUAAUAAUAAAAACUUUAGUGUAAUAAACUUGAGUAUAAUAAAAACUUUUUAAAUGCAUUUUUAUUAAAAAGUAUUCAAAAGAGGAUAGUUAAAACGUAAACCGGAAUUCAUAUGACGCGUUUACAAUUGAAGGUAGUAGCGACACUGGUUUGGGGGAAGCAUCUACAGUUCUCUUUCUCUCUCCUUCAUGCAAUCUCUCUUUAUCACGCAAUAUCUCUCUCUCUCUCUCUCUCUGUCUCUCUCUUUCUUUUUCUGUACAGUAGUCACUCGAAUGGCGUUUAGUGAAUGUUUGUCAAAAGCGAGCGGUGUUCACGUUGCGCAAUGUAUAAUUCUUCGCUUUGUGGUUAAUGAAAAUGUCAAACCGGCAAAAAAAAAUUUGCGACCUUCAAUUUAAUAAAGAAACUUUCAAUAUGUAUCUAGAUGAAAUUUUUCAAAAAAGAAUUGUGAAGAACGACAGUUGUAUACAUAAAAAAAAAAAAUUUUAAUUUUCAUAUAAUUUAUAUAAAAAUAAACUUACUAAUAAAAAAAUUGAAUAAAUUUAAGCUAUUCAUAUAAUACAGCGCCAUGCGAUAAACAUUAAUCCGAGAUUGGGGCACAGACGAUAUCCUCGAAACCGGGCGCGUAAGUAGUCGCACAGCUUUUUUUUCGCGAUAAUAAAUAGAUAAUGUCAAAGACAAGCGGAUAAAUAUAUUGUUGUUUCAAUUGUGUUUAUCGGAAUAUCAUAAACGCGGCUUUAACGAUUAUAAUUAUGACGAAUCAAAUUAUUGGCAUUCCGUUCCGGCAAGUCAUUACCUUGUACGUCGUGUUAUUGAGGCAAUUUUGGUCGACGACGUUUCGAAAAUAUCUUGGAAAUAAUUUAAAUAAACAUUGGCUUGUGUGUAUGUGUACAUAAAUUUCUUGUGUCGGAAUAAAUUGAGAUUUGUGUUGUGAGUAGAUAUAUCCCCUCUUAAAAGACGGAGUUGAAAGGAGAUAGAGCCAAAUCGCGCGUUAACUUUAAUCGACAUUUAUAAAAACGGCCGGCAAAGUUGCUAUUGCGCGAAUAGCGAUCAUGGCGUAGGAUACACGUAUCCCUCCAUACCAUUGGGAAGAUCGAACUCGUCGGAAUUGCACCGAUUACGAUCCGGGCGUACCGCUCGGAAAGGCAAAGGAAAGAGGCGACGGAGAUGGAGAUUGAGAGAGAGAGAGAGAGAGAGAGAGAGAGAGAGAGAAAGAAAGAGAAAGCGAAAUAGCGAAAGACGGAAAAAACGAGCGGUAGUCGCCUAGGCACGAAAGCGCGAUCUCACGCCACGGUGCCGCGAUGACGCGCGAGAAUCAUCGCCCAUCGUCGGGCCGCGGUCGGCAUGCCGACCGUGUAGAAGUGAAUCAUACGCUUCCUGGAAACGAUGGCAGGAUCCGCCGUCGCGGAAUCCGCACGCGAAGAACGGAAGGAGUGGGAGGAGGGGAGAGGAAGGAAGAAUACGCGAAACGCCACGACGACGCGAAAUUCAUCCGGUCGCUGUUGCUGAGAAAGUGAGGCGUAUCCGAUCCGAGGACUGCCGGACCCCUCGAGGCCAGAAAUGGCCGACCGGCGCGUCUGCUGCGGCCAUAACCACAAAAAAGUCGUCGUGUGCCGGGCGAGCGGCCUCGCCCGAGCCUCGCGUCGCCGUUCGCGUUUACGGACGGUAUACUCCCCGAUUUCUCUCCGAUAGUACUUAA
This is a long non-coding RNA of Cataglyphis hispanica, 4507 nucleotides long. RefSeq lists it as uncharacterized. Lineage: Eukaryota; Metazoa; Arthropoda; Insecta; Hymenoptera; Formicidae. The record is from RefSeq and is a predicted model, not a curated record. The transcript is spliced from 3 exons.